AGAGUUUGAUCCUGGCUCAGAACGAACGCUGGCGGCAUGCCUAACACAUGCAAGUCGAACGAAGGCUUCGGCCUUAGUGGCGCACGGGUGCGUAACGCGUGGGAAUCUGCCCUUAGGUACGGAAUAACUCAGGGAAACUUGAGCUAAUACCGUAUAAUGACUCCGGUCCAAAGAUUUAUCGCCUAAGGAUGAGCCCGCGUCGGAUUAGCUAGUUGGUGAGGUAAAAGCUCACCAAGGCGACGAUCCGUAGCUGGUCUGAGAGGAUGAUCAGCCACACUGGGACUGAGACACGGCCCAGACUCCUACGGGAGGCAGCAGUGGGGAAUAUUGGACAAUGGGCGAAAGCCUGAUCCAGCAAUGCCGCGUGAGUGAUGAAGGCCUUAGGGUUGUAAAGCUCUUUUACCCGGGAUGAUAAUGACA
RNAcentral lists this ribosomal RNA (420 nucleotides) under uncultured soil bacterium. Its description in RNAcentral is "bacterial SSU rRNA". It matches the Rfam family "Bacterial small subunit ribosomal RNA", at positions 8 to 456 of the family's 1533-position model. The record is from RNAcentral.